AUACGGAAGGUCCGGGCGUUAUCCGGAUUUAUUGGGUUUAAAGGGAGCGCAGGCGGAGAUGCAAGCGUGACGUCAAAUUUCGGGGCUCAACCCCGUCUCGCGUCGCGAACUGCGUCCCUUGGUUGCGGGAAGGGGAGGCGGAACUCGUGGUGUAGCGGUGAAAUGCGUAGAUAUCACGAAGAACUCCGAUCGCGAAGGCAGCCUUCCGGCCCGUCAACGACGCUCAUGCUCGAAGGUGCGGGUAUCAAACAGGAUUAGAUACCCUGGUAGUCCGCACAGUAAACGAUGGACACCCGCGGUUUGGCCUAUAUGGCUGAGCCGCCAAGCGAAAGCGUUAAGUGUCCCACCUGGGGAGUACGCCGGCAACGGUGAAACUCAAAGGAAUUGACGGGG
Molecule: ribosomal RNA, 393 nt
Filed under: uncultured bacterium
Lineage: Bacteria
Description: partial 16S ribosomal RNA
Rfam family: Bacterial small subunit ribosomal RNA
Source: RNAcentral